Triticum aestivum (bread wheat) is the source of this 224-nucleotide non-coding RNA. NCBI's taxonomy places the organism in Eukaryota, Viridiplantae, Streptophyta, Magnoliopsida, Poales, Poaceae. The record is from Rfam.
ACGACCUUACUUGAACAGGAUCUGUUCUAUAGGCUCGUACCGCUGCAUCCUUUACCAAUAAGGAGGCAAGCACUUCAGUCUGGUUGAUGACCUCUGCCCUCUGGGCCAGAGCGUGAUUAACGUCCAGGAUUCCUCUGAUGGAGGCAAUCCGACGGCUGUAGAGGAUCGUUCCUGCCUGGCUCACACCUGUGCAGGGUGGCCCAGAGGAGGUUGUCUGACAGACU